Molecule: ribosomal RNA, 530 nt
Filed under: uncultured bacterium
Lineage: Bacteria
Description: bacterial SSU rRNA
Rfam family: Bacterial small subunit ribosomal RNA
Source: RNAcentral
AAUAGAUACCCCGGUAGUCCACGCCGUAAACGAUGAGUGCUAAGUGUUAGAGGGUUUCCGCCCUUUAGUGCUGCAGCUAACGCAUUAAGCACUCCGCCUGGGGAGUACGGCCGCAAGGCUGAAACUCAAAGGAAUUGACGGGGGGCCCGCACAAGCGGUGGAGCAUGUGGUUUAAUUCGAAGCAACGCGAAGAACCUUACCAGGUCUUGACAUCCUCUGACACUCCUAGAGAUAGGACUUUCCCCUUCGGGGGACAGAGUGACAGGUGGUGCAUGGUUGUCGUCAGCUCGUGUCGUGAGAUGUUGGGUUAAGUCCCGCAACGAGCGCAACCCUUGAUCUUAGUUGCCAGCAUUCAGUUGGGCACUCUAAGGUGACUGCCGGUGACAAACCGGAGGAAGGUGGGGAUGACGUCAAAUCAUCAUGCCCCUUAUGACCUGGGCUACACACGUGCUACAAUGGAUGGUACAAAGGGCAGCGAAGCCGCGAGGUGGAGCCAAUCCCAUAAAACCCAUUCUCAGUUCGGAUUGCGA